GCUUUUGCUUGCAAACACUAAGAGAGCACUAUAGUUUCAAUCGGAGAUUUCCUAGCUGUCGACGAUUGAAUCGUGCACUUGGAAUAGUUCCUGCAUCGAAUCGACAUACACGUGGAUACCUUAGUAGUGGAUUCGCGGCAAGAAUCGAGACGCACGUUUACCACAUAACAAGUAAGUUAUUCUUAUUGUUGUGUGCCUAUCUCUACACAUGAUGCAUUUGUAAAUCUAGAUCUAAUCCUUGAAUGUAUAUUCCGUUGCGUAUCAUUAGAUGAUGUCAAGGAUAACCAACAGUGGUAUCAGAGCCCGGGGCUCGAUUUACAAUUGUGAUUGUGUUCUAAUUGUUUAUGGGUUGAGAAUAUUUGAUUUUAGAAAUGGUUUCUAAAAUGAAUCUGAAAUUUUUGAAAUCUGUUUCGACUUUCGAAUUGGAAAUUGAAAUCAAAAGUUUUGAAAUUUGGGAUUAAAAUGUUCGAAACCAUUUUCUGGAUUUGGGUGAAAAUUGCUGGGCAAUACUCGUUUCACACUCGCCGGAUCUGAACCGACCACCUUCAUGGACGAGGCGGCGAUGGUGGCUCGGGGCUCGCCGGUGUGCAGCGCCCGACCACCUGCCGGCAGCUACGUCGUGGCUUCAAGCCGACGCGCCGCUGCAUCUCUGUGGCAGUCCCGCCAUCUCGGGCUUGGAGUCCGGCGGUGGAAGGCGAAAGCGUGAUGGUGGUUUGGUGGCGAGACGGCGUCGCGCACUCCGGCGUGAGAGGCGACGCACUGGUAGAGGUUCGCGCGGCGGACCUGCGCUCUCCCGGCGAGAACGCCGCUUCUUCAUCCUCGAAAACGCCUCCCCUCGACGCAGGCUUGGACUCUAGCGUGCUGACGACCAGCGGGCUUCGUCAGGCGAGGCCGCGCGACGUCGUCGGCGUCGUGGAUCUCGCGGCGGCAGCAGGCUGACGGGCGAAAAGGCGGCAGCGGGGUCUCCGGGCGUGGUGACGAGAAAGGAGGCGGCAGCUGCUGCUGCAAAUCCUUUUCUCAAACCCUUGCUGCUGAAAAUUGGGUUUUGGGCCAAAAAGGAGUUGUUGGGCUGCAGUGUUCAAAGGCUGGGCCUGUUCCUUUUGUGGGCUGCUGCUGUGGACUUCCAUGGGCUGCGAAAAUGAUUUAUUAAAGGGGGCUGGGCCUGUUUUAAUAAAUGGCCCAAAUUGGGCAGUAACAAUUUAAAAAAAAAUCUUUUAUUAAUUUUGAAUUAAUAAUUGAAUCCCAAUUUCAGAAUUAAUUUAUUAAUUGGAUUAAUAAAUUUAAAUUAUUGUUAUUAAUUUUGAAUAAUAAUAAUAAUAGAAAUAAAUUUAUAUUAAUUUAGAAUUAAUAUAAAUUGAUUAACCCAUAUUUAAUUAGAGAAUAAAAUAUUAAUUUGAUUAAUGAUUUUAUUCGUAGAGUUUUAUGUCAUUAUGUGAUAAGCAUGCUAUUUGAUUUUAUGCUUAUUAUUUAACUAUAGUAGUUAAAGUCCACAUUUAUCUUGGGUAGGCGGCGCCCAAUAUAUGUAGUCCGCUUUGCUAUGUAUGGGUAGGCGACGCCCAAUAUGUGUGGUCCGCAUUUUAUAUGCCUGGGUAGGCGGCACCCAGUAAUUGUUUUGCUAUUUAAUAUUGGAUAUUAAAUAUAAGCAAUUAGUAUCACAUACUAAAUCCCCAUUAAAUAUAAGUCUUUGUGUAAAGCACAAAACGCGUCGUCCAUCAUAAUUGUUUGAGUACCUAACCUUUUCGUCCAAGAGUAUUUACAUAAAAUUGUAUGCUCUAAAUCGACAAGGCCAAGUCUCAUUCAUAGGUUGGCACCGUGUGAUGGGGUUGACUUACUUAAAUUAUUUUGGAACGCAAAGCGACCAAGAAUGAUUCAAGGACGCAGAUUAAUUGGAUUAAUCAACCAAGAGUUGCAAAAUUGUUGUUGCAAUUGGCUUAGAGGCCUACUAAGUGAUAUUAUUGUAGUAAUCAGCAAAGCAGAGGCUGCAUAAUAUUGACUUGGAUCUUGGACCACUAAGAUUUAUAUGGAUUAUAAAUUCGUGUUUUACGUUGGGGGCGUAAGAUAUGUUAAAAUUAGUGGGAGCUAAUCAAUACGAUAGCCCAUUGUUUGAUUAGUAAUACAUUGUGAUCAUAGUUUAUUCUUUCUAAUUUGCUUUUCUUUAUUUAUUGAUCAGAUAAUAUAUCGAAUUUGUCACUGAAAUGUUUGAUAGAAACAAACAAGUUGACUGAGUCAAACUUCACGGAUUGGCUCCGUUGCUUGCGUCUGG
This 2263-nucleotide long non-coding RNA is filed under the name Salvia miltiorrhiza (redroot sage). Its description in RNAcentral is "long non-coding RNA (SMIL_LNC008535)". Lineage: Eukaryota; Viridiplantae; Streptophyta; Magnoliopsida; Lamiales; Lamiaceae. The record is from RNAcentral.